GAUGAACGCUGGCGGCGUGCCUAAUACAUGCCAGUCGAGCGAACGGACGAGAAGCUUGCUUCUCUGAUGUUAGCGGCGGACGGGUGAGUAACACGUGGAUAACCUACCUAUAAGACUGGGAUAACUUCGGGAAACCGUAGCUAAUACCGGAUAAUAUUUUGAACCGCAUGGUUCAAAAGUGAAAGACGGUCUUGCUGUCACUUAUAGAUGGAUCCGCGCUGCAUUAGCUAGUUGGUAAGGUAACGGCUUACCAAGGCAACGAUGCAUAGCCGACCUGAGAGGGGGAGCGGCCACACUGGAACUGAGACACGGUCCAGACUCCUACGGGAGGCAGCAGUAGGGAAUCUUCCGCAAUGGGCGAAAGCCUGACGGAGCAACGCCGCGUGAGUGAUGAAGGUCUUCGGAUCGUAAAACUCUGUUAUUAGGGAGGAACAUAUGUGUAAGUAACUGUGCACAUCUUGACGGUACCUAAUCAGAAAGCCACGGCUAACUACGUG
RNAcentral lists this ribosomal RNA (497 nucleotides) under uncultured bacterium. RNAcentral describes it as "partial 16S ribosomal RNA". It matches the Rfam family "Bacterial small subunit ribosomal RNA", at positions 28 to 507 of the family's 1533-position model. The record is from RNAcentral.